Molecule: ribosomal RNA, 817 nt
Filed under: uncultured Bacillota bacterium
Lineage: Bacteria; Bacillati; Bacillota
Description: bacterial SSU rRNA
Rfam family: Bacterial small subunit ribosomal RNA
Source: RNAcentral
GCAAGUCGAACGCGAAAGUCCCCUUCGGGGGAUAAGUAGAGUGGCGUCCGGGUGAGUAACACGUAGGUAAUCUACCUUCGGGUGGGGAAUAACGCAGGGAAACUUGCGCUAAUACCGCAUAAUGCAGCGGCACCACAUGGUGACAGUUGUUAAAGCGGGGGAUUUUCGAACCUCGCGCCUGAAGAGGAGCCUGCGGCAGAUUAGCUAGUUGGUAGGGUAACGGCUUACCAAGGCGACGAUCUGUAGCCGGCCUGAGAGGGCGGUCGGCCACACUGACACUGACAUACGGGUCAGACUCCUACGGGAGGCAGCAGUCGGGAAUUUUGGGCAAUGGGCGAAAGCCUGACCCAGCAACGCCGCGUGAAGGAUGAAAUCCCUCGGGAUGUAAACUUCGCAAGAAUAGGAAGAAUGAGUAGGGGCUAAUACUCCCUAUGAUGACGGUACUAUUUGUAAGCUCCGGCUAACUCCGUGCCAGCAGCCGCGGUAAUACGGGGGGAGCAAGCGUUGUUCGGAUUUACUGGGCGUAAAGGGCGCGUAGGCGGCCAGCGCAAGUCAGUUGUGAAAUCUCCGGGCUUAACUCGGAACGGUCAACUGAUACUGCGCGGCUAGAGUGCGGAAGGGGCAACUGGAAUUCUCGGUGUAGCGGUGAAAUGCGUAGAUAUCGAGAGGAACACCUGCGGCGAAAGCGGGUUGCUGGGCCGACACUGACGCUGAUGCGCGAAAGCCAGGGGAGCGAACGGGAUUAGAUACCCCGGUAGUCCUGGCCUUAAACGAUGGAUGCUUGGUGUCUGGAGUUUUAUAGUCUCCGGGUGCCGCA